This 253-nucleotide ribosomal RNA is filed under the name uncultured bacterium. Its description in RNAcentral is "partial 16S ribosomal RNA". It matches the Rfam family "Bacterial small subunit ribosomal RNA", at positions 524 to 776 of the family's 1533-position model. The record is from RNAcentral.
UACGGAGGGUGCAAGCGUUAUCCGGAUUCACUGGGUUUAAAGGGCGCGUAGGCGGGUAGGUAAGUCAGUGGUGAAAUCUCGGAGCUUAACUCCGAAACUGCCAUUGAUACUAUCUAUCUUGAAUAUUGUGGAGGUUUGCGGAAUAUGUCAUGUAGCGGUGAAAUGCUUAGAUAUGACAUAGAACACCUAUUGCGAAGGCAGCAGGCUACACAUAUAUUGACGCUGAGGCACGAAAGCGUGGGGAUCAAACAGG